This 503-nucleotide ribosomal RNA is filed under the name uncultured bacterium. RNAcentral's name for it is "partial 16S ribosomal RNA". It matches the Rfam family "Bacterial small subunit ribosomal RNA", at positions 30 to 523 of the family's 1533-position model. The record is from RNAcentral.
AUUGAACGCUGGCGGCAGGCUUAACACAUGCAAGUCGAGCGGGGUGAUGGUGCUUGCACUAUCACUUAGCGGCGGACGGGUGAGUAAUGCUUAGGAAUCUGCCAAUUAGUGGGGGACAACAUCUCGAAAGGGAUGCUAAUACCGCAUACGUCCUACGGGAGAAAGCCGGGGAUCACUUGUGACCUUGCGCUAAUAGAUGAGCCUAAGUCGGAUUAGCUAGUUGGUGGGGUAAAGGCCUACCAAGGCGACGAUCUGGAGCGGGUCUGAGAGGAUGAUCCGCCACACUGGGACUGAGACACGGCCCAGACUCCUACGGGAGGAAGCAGUGGGGAAUAUUGGACAAUGGGGGGAACCCUGAUCCAGCCAUGCCGCGUGUGUGAAGAAGGCCUUAUGGUUGUAAAGCACUUUAAGCGAGGAGGAGGCUCUUUUGGUUAAUACCCAAGAUGAGUGGACGUUACUCGCAGAAUAAGCACCGGCUAACUCUGUGCCAGCCGCCGCGGUAA